This 445-nucleotide ribosomal RNA is filed under the name uncultured bacterium. RNAcentral describes it as "partial 16S ribosomal RNA". It matches the Rfam family "Bacterial small subunit ribosomal RNA", at positions 354 to 796 of the family's 1533-position model. The record is from RNAcentral.
GUGAGGAAUAUUGGACAAUGGGCGCAAGCCUGAUCCAGCCAUGCCGCGUGCAGGAAGACGCAUCUAUGGUGUGUAAACUGCUUUUGUACGGGAAGAAACACUCCCUCGUGAGGGAGCUUGACGGUACCGUAAGAAUAAGGAUCGGCUAACUCCGUGCCAGCAGCCGCGGUAAUACGGAGGAUCCAAGCGUUAUCCGGAAUCAUUUGGUUUAACGGGUCCGUAGGCGGUUUAAUAAGUCAGUGGUAAAAGCCCAUCGCUCAACGAUGGAACGGCCAUUGAUACUGUUAGACUUGAAUUACAAGGAAGUAACUAGAAUAUGUAGUGUAGCGGUGAAAUGCUUAGAUAUUACAUGGAAUACCAAUUGCGAAGGCAGGUUACUACUUGUGGAUUGACGCUGAUGGACGAAAGCGUGGGGAGCGAACAGGAUUAGAUACCCUAGUAGUCC